UGCUAAAUUUCAUUAGUUUGUGGUGCGCUGUUGGGAACUGGGCGAACUACCAGCAGACCUUCGUGAUGCAGUCAUCAUCACCUUGUAUAAUGAUGGUGCGACUAGGCAAAUCCAAGGCCCGACUGUUUACCAAAAACAUAGCCUUUAGCAAACCAAGUAUUAAAGGUGAAGCCUGCCCAGUGACAAUACGUUCAACGGCCGCGGUAUCCUAACCGUGCAAAGGUAGCGCAAUCAAUUGUCCCAUAAAUCGGGACUUGUAUGAAUGGCUUAACGAGGUCUUAGCUGUCUCCUACAGAUAAUCAGUGAAAUUGAUCUCCCUGUGCAAAAGCAGGAAUAUCCCCAUAAGACAAGAAGACCCUGUGGAACUUUAAAAUCUGCUACCACUCCCAUUAACAAUACCCACCUACAGGGCCCACUCCACGGGAUUUUGCUGGUGUGCAUUUUUUGGUUGGGGCGACCUUGGAGACAAACUCAACCUCCAAAUACCAGACAAUCCAUCUUAACCAAGAACUACCCAUCAACGUGCUAAUAGCAACCAGACCCAAUAUAAUUGAGUAAUGAACCUAGCUACCCCAGGGAUAACAGCGCAAUCUCCUUCAAGAGCCCACAUCGACAAGGAGGUUUACGACCUCGAUGUUGGAUCAGGACAUCCUAGUGGUGCAACCGCUACCAAGGGUUCGUUUGUUCAACGAUUAACAGUCCUACGUGAUCUGAGUUCAGACCGGAGUAAUCCAGGUCGGUUUCUAUCUAUGUUAUAACUCCUUCUAGUACGAAAGGACCGAAGAAGUAAGGCCUAUACCACAAGCACGCCUUCGCACCCAGUAAUGAACCCAACUAAAUUACUAAGAGCUUCACCACAACCCCCUCCUAGAAAAGGACCGCUAGCGUGGCAGAGCUUGGCAAAUGCAGAAGGCUUAAGCCCUUUACCCAGAGGUU
This 936-nucleotide non-coding RNA is filed under the name Manacus vitellinus (golden-collared manakin). RNAcentral's name for it is "Archaeal large subunit ribosomal RNA". It matches the Rfam family "Bacterial large subunit ribosomal RNA", at positions 1673 to 2925 of the family's 2925-position model. The record is from Rfam by way of RNAcentral. Lineage: Eukaryota; Metazoa; Chordata; Aves; Passeriformes; Pipridae.